CAGUCGCCACGGUAAAACGGAGGGUGCAAGCGUUAAUCGGAAUUACUGGGCGUAAAGCGCACGCAGGCGGUCUGACAAGUCAGAUGUGAAAUCCCCGGGCUUAACCUGGGAACUGCAUUUGAAACUGUCAGGCUGGAGUCUUGUAGAGGGGGGUGGAAUUCCAGGUGUAGCGGUGAAAUGCGUAGAGAUCUGGAGGAAUACCGGUGGCGAAGGCGGCCCCCUGGACAAAGACUGACGCUCAGGUGCGAAAGCGUGGGGAGCAAACAGGAUUAGAUACCCGUGUAGUCCCUGUCUCUUAUAC
This 301-nucleotide ribosomal RNA is filed under the name uncultured bacterium. Its description in RNAcentral is "partial 16S ribosomal RNA". It matches the Rfam family "Bacterial small subunit ribosomal RNA", at positions 509 to 807 of the family's 1533-position model. The record is from RNAcentral.